Long non-coding RNA from Acinonyx jubatus (cheetah), 1112 nucleotides. RefSeq lists it as uncharacterized. The transcript has 2 exons. The record is from RefSeq and is a predicted model, not a curated record. Lineage: Eukaryota; Metazoa; Chordata; Mammalia; Carnivora; Felidae.
CACAGAAUCUGAAACAGGCUCCAGGCUCUGAGCGGUCAGCACAGAGCCCGACGCGGGGCUCGAAGUCACAGACUGUCAGAUCAUGACCUGAGCCGAAGUCGGAUGCUUAACCGAUCAAGCCACCCAGGCGCCCCUGCAGCUUGACUUUUAAAAAGCAGCCUGUGUUUGUACGUGUGUGUAUAAUGAGAAAGAGGAAGCGUGUUACCUAAUGACAUACAUUGCAAAAACAGGGGGAAGCUGCCGGCUGGGUGGAGACUUCAGAGCGGUUGUUCGGCUUACCCAGAACUCUUCUAGUGAAAACAAACCAGACCAAACCACUUCACCGUGGUUGUCACCGCUGCUAGCUUUCAAUGUGUACCACUCGCCACAGGGCCAUUGGAAACUCAGAAGCAGAAGGCCACUGCCUGCUGUGACCGUCCUGCAGCAGAAGGGUCCAUGGAGCACGGUGAUGUCCCACACAAGUCUCAAACCAGAGCAACACAGAAGAGAAACAAACAAAUGGGAGACGGAGAGACACAGAGAGAGAAAAAGAGAGAGGGAGGAAGAGAGAGACAGAGAGAGGGAGUUGUUUGGAAAAAAACUCUGCUUUGAGCCACGUCUGCAGAGCCAGGACUCCACCAGGCACGUAUUUAUUUUAAACACUGUUAUUUGGUUUACGUUUUCUUGUGGUUCCGACAAUGAUAUUGCACGCUUCUUCAAAGCCGGGAGAGCGCUGUGGAAGCACUUUAGGCAAGAGGAUUCCAACCCUUGACCCUUAAUGGCCUCCUCCGGGCAACCCCACUAUGAUUCACAAAGGUGUCUUUAGCCGGCUUUCAAUUCCAGUUGUCCUACAGGUUCCAGGUUGAGUUGCCCAAAUUAAUGGGUGGGGCCGACCCUUCAGACAACCAUCCAUCAGCCGUCAGGGAGGAGCCUCCGGGUUCUAAGCCCCGCCCCCUCUCGCCUCUCACCUGCAGGUCUCAAACCCGAUGCUCAGGGCUGCCUCCAUCUCGGUCAUGGUGGGCAGGGUGCUGUUGAAAGCCUUGCAGAGGUCAGCAGCCUCCGUCUUCGAGAUGCUGUAGCGACCGUUUUUCUCCACGUGGAACACACCCGCGUAUCGGCAGGUUAUAUUCAAA